Molecule: unclassified non-coding RNA, 309 nt
Filed under: plant metagenome
Description: partial contains 5.8S ribosomal RNA, internal transcribed spacer 2, and large subunit ribosomal RNA
Rfam family: 5.8S ribosomal RNA (bases 1-105)
Source: RNAcentral
GAAAUGCGAUAAGUAGUGUGAAUUGCAGAAUUCAGUGAAUCAUCGAAUCUUUGAACGCACAUUGCGCCCCUUGGUAUUCCAUGGGGCAUGCCUGUUCGAGCGUCAUUUGUACCCUCAAGCUCUGCUUGGUGUUGGGUGUUUGUCCCGUCUCCGCGCGUGGACUCGCCCCAAAGUGAUUGGCAGCCGGCGUACUGGUCCCGGAGCGCAGCACAUGUCGCGCAAACGAGUGCCUUGGUACGGCGGCGUCCAUAAGCCCCUCUCUCACGCUCUUGACCUCGGAUCAGGUAGGGAUACCCGCUGGAUUUAAGC